Molecule: transfer RNA, 85 nt
Filed under: Candidatus Woesearchaeota archaeon
Lineage: Archaea; Nanobdellati; Candidatus Woesearchaeota
Description: tRNA-Val
Rfam family: tRNA
About the family: Transfer RNA (tRNA) molecules are approximately 80 nucleotides in length. Their secondary structure includes four short double-helical elements and three loops (D, anti-codon, and T loops).
Source: RNAcentral
GGGCCUGUGGUCUAGCGGUUACAAUGCCGCAAAUGACAACACCCUUACACGGUGUAGGUCACCAGUUCGAAUCUGGUCGGGCCCA